RNAcentral lists this ribosomal RNA (292 nucleotides) under uncultured bacterium. RNAcentral's name for it is "partial 16S ribosomal RNA". It matches the Rfam family "Bacterial small subunit ribosomal RNA", at positions 505 to 796 of the family's 1533-position model. The record is from RNAcentral.
GUGUCAGCAGCCGCGGUAAUACGUAGGUGGCGAGCGUUGUCCGGAAUUACUGGGUGUAAAGGGCGUGUAGGCGGGGAAACAAGUCAGAUGUGAAAUUCUGGGGCUCAACCCCAGCGCUGCAUCUGAAACUGUAUCUCUUGAGUGCUGGAGAGGAAAGCGGAAUUCCUAGUGUAGCGGUGAAAUGCGUAGAUAUUAGGAGGAACACCAGUGGCGAAGGCGGCUUUCUGGACAGUAACUGACGCUGAGGCGCGAAAGCGUGGGGAGCAAACAGGAUUAGAUACCCGGGUAGUCC